UUGAACGCUGGCGGCGUGCUUAACACAUGCAAGUCGUACGUGAAAGUGGCUUCGGCCAUGAGUAAAGUGGCGCGACGGGUGAGUAACGCGUGGAUAAUCUGCCUGGUAAGUGGGGAAUAACGGCUGGAAACGGCCGCUAAUACCGCAUGAGCUUCAUAUUUAGCUUUAUGAAGGAAAGAGGGCCUCUGCAUAUGCUCUUGCUACCGGAUGAGUCCGCGUCCCAUUAGCUAGUUGGCGGGGUAACGGCCCACCAAGGCGACGAUGGGUAGCUGUUCUGAGAGGAUGAUCAGCCACAUUGGAACUGGAACACGGUCCAAACUCCUACGGGAGGCAGCAGUGGGGAAUAUUGCGCAAUGGGCGAAAGCCUGACGCAGCGACGCCGCGUGAGGGGAAAAGAAGGUCUUCGGAUCGUAAACCUCUGUCAGAAGGGAAGAAGUUAGUACGCGCUAAUCAGCGUACUAUUGACGGUACCUUCAAAGGAAGCACCGGCUAACUCCGUGCCAGCAGCCGC
This 511-nucleotide ribosomal RNA is filed under the name uncultured bacterium. RNAcentral describes it as "bacterial SSU rRNA". It matches the Rfam family "Bacterial small subunit ribosomal RNA", at positions 30 to 518 of the family's 1533-position model. The record is from RNAcentral.